CGAGUUGCAGCAAAUUCUACCUCCUGACACAGUCCAGCUGCUGCAGUCUAUAACCCAAUCAGCGCUUCAUCAAGAUUUUGCUGCCAUCAUGGAUUAAAGUGAAACCGGAAAUACUGGCAUAUGGAAAUGCUGGAAUGGGAAAUAUUGGAAGAAAUCAACCAAGAAAUUGAACUGAUAGUGCUAAUAUCUUGACAGUACAUUUCACAGUUUAUACCCUGUUAUCAAAAUCCUGAGAUCACCAGAUGAUGCUCUCCUGUCAUCUGCUGGAUCUUAAAAUUUGUAUUGUGCUCAUUGACUUUUGUUUUCCUUCAUAUCAUUGGUAAGUGGUGACAUUUGCAGAAAAAUAGCAAUAAUACAAGCUUAUCAGUAAAGAAAA
Long non-coding RNA from Rhincodon typus (whale shark), 376 nucleotides. RefSeq lists it as uncharacterized. The record is from RefSeq and is a predicted model, not a curated record. Lineage: Eukaryota; Metazoa; Chordata; Chondrichthyes; Orectolobiformes; Rhincodontidae. The transcript has 2 exons.